GUGCAGCAGGCGCGAAACCUCUGCAAUAGGCGAAAGCUUGACAGGGUUACUCUGAGUGAUUUCCGUUAAGGAGAUCUUUUGGCACCUCUAAAAAUGGUGCAGGAUAAGGGGUGGGCAAGUCUGGUGUCAGCCGUCGCGGUAAUACCAGCACCCCGGGUGGUCGGGACGAUUAUUGGGCCUAAAGCAUCCGUAGCCGGUUCUACAAGUCUUCCGUUAAAUCCAACUGCUUAACAGAUGGGGCCGCGGAGGAUACUAUAAGACUAGGAGGCAGGAGAGGCAAGCGGUACUCAGUGGGUAGGGGUAAAAUCCGUUGAUCCAUUGAAGACCACCAGUGGCGAAGGCGGCUUGCCAGAACGCGCUCGACGGUGAGGGAUGAAAGCUGGGGGAGCAAACCGGAUUAGAUACCCCCGUAGU
Molecule: ribosomal RNA, 414 nt
Filed under: uncultured archaeon
Lineage: Archaea
Description: bacterial SSU rRNA
Rfam family: Archaeal small subunit ribosomal RNA
Source: RNAcentral